Molecule: ribosomal RNA, 446 nt
Filed under: uncultured bacterium
Lineage: Bacteria
Description: bacterial SSU rRNA
Rfam family: Bacterial small subunit ribosomal RNA
Source: RNAcentral
AUUGAACGCUGGCGGCAGGCCUAACACAUGCAAGUCGAGCGGUAGAGAGGUGCUUGCAUCUCUUGAGAGCGGCGGACGGGUGAGUAAUGCCUAGGAAUCUGCCUAGUGGUGGGGGGAUAACGUUCGGAAACGGACGCUAAUACCGCAUACGUCCUACGGGAGAAAGCGGGGGAUCUUCGGACCUCGCGCCAUUAGAUGAGCCUAGGUCGGAUUAGCUAGUUGGUGAGGUAAUGGCUCACCAAGGCGACGAUCCGUAACUGGUCUGAGAGGAUGAUCAGUCACACUGGAACUGAGACACGGUCCAGACUCCUACGGGAGGCAGCAGUGGGGGAAUAUUGGACAAUGGGCGGAAAGACCUGAUCCAGCCAUGCCGCGUGUGUGAAGAAGGUCUUCGGAGUUGUUAAAGGACACUUUAAGUUUAGGGUAGGGAAGGGGACGAGUAAGUU